UUUUUGACAAAAUCGAAAUAAAUUUAUUUUGAAUAAAAACAAAACAAAUGAUGAUAAUCAAAUACCGUAAUAAUUAUAAUAUAGAUAAUAUUUAUGUACAAUAAUAUGACUAAAUUUGCGUACAUUGUUUGUUUUUUUUUUUCUUUCGUUAUUCCUUUAAUGGUUUAAUGUAUUGAGCUAUUAUAUAAUAUAUUUAUAGAAAUAUAAACGUUUAACAAAUAUUAUUCUACAUUAAUAACUAUAAUAAUAUUGUAUAAUAUUAUAAUAUACAUGUACGACUAUAAGCAAAUUUAGCCUUAUAUUAUAUAAUUUGUUUUUUUUUUUUUAUACAAAAACCAUAAUUUUUAUUAAUAUAAUAAUAUAUUUCCGUUAUAAUAUAAUAAUACAUUUUAGCUGUAUUCAUUUAUUAUUAAAAAAAAAAAAAAAACAAACAAACAUUAUAUAAAUGAUAAUAUAUUCAUUAGUCGUCGAUUAAAUAAAUAUAAUAUAAAUAUUUUUAAACGCACAAUAGUGUUACAUUUAUUUAUACGCAGUGUAACAAACAACGUAGUAUAACAAAUAUUUUUUUAUUUUUAUUUUUUUUAGAUUUUUCGUAUAAAACACAAACACACUAACGCGUACACACCCGCAACACGCUCACACAUCAAUGUACUCUGAGAGGUCGGGACGGAGAAUCGUACAAUAACGGAGAGAUUGAGAAAAUUGCAUUUUACGAAUAUGAUUCUUCUACUUAAAACUUCAUUUUUUUUUUUUUUUUUUAACGUACUAUAGUAUUUCUCCGAUUCCUCUCAAAAUAUUCCGUACAUCAGGAUAACCGCCUUAAAAAAUAAACUCGUGUGAAAUAUACCUUAUUCAAAAUAUCGUCAGCUCGAACAUGUUAAACAUGUUUUCGGUUCUUUUUCAUUUUCACACGUAACGCAUUUGAAAGGGAAUACAAAAUUACGUAUUCGUACAGAUUCGAUACGGUCAACGUUUUGUAUUUGCGUUACGAUUUGGAAUCGCAUUAAUUUUAUUGCGAGAUAUGAUCGUGGGAUACUUUGACCGUGACACAAUAUUUUGAUGUACAUGAUAUUUUGAGAGUGCAUCAUUUUUUUCCAAUUCAAAAUGUAAUACAGUGAAUAGUGUAACGACCCGGUUUUUACUGUUGGUACCUAUAUGUAUAUUAUAUUAUAAUAAAUCGAGAAUCACAACUGACAUAAUAUAUGGGACAACAUGUGUGACAGUUGUAAAUAUCUUGAAAAAAAUAAAAGUAAAAUAAAAAUCGAUAACAUGAUAUUUUAAACAUGGCGUUUCAAGCGGAUAUACGUCGUCGUUUAGACGGUUUGCGCAUUGUGCGCGCCCAUUGUCGUACCGAAAUCAAUUCAAAACGGAGAAUCUGUAACGGCAACGCGAGUCGAAAUAUUAUUAACCGUAUAGACGUGUCGAUCAGCGUGAUCGUAAGUAUUUUCAAGUAUAAUAAAUGUAUCGUAUAAUGCCGACUAAAUUGUGAAACGCAAAGCUUAAUGGACUUUUCGUACAAUUUUUCCACGCCGAAAUAUGCGUACGUUUCCAAACGGUGUACUGCACUUAGGACGCGUAUAAAUAACGAACGCGUAAACACCGGAAAAAAUAAACAAUAAAACAAAAAUUACAAUCGGUUUUCCGUGGAAGAAUAAAUAUUAUUCACAUAUGUAUUAUAGUAUAAUAUAAACAAUUAAAUUGGUGUUGUAGUUGACGCCGAAUUUUCUUAUCAAAGAGGUCCGUGUUUAUAUUUUGUCAAUAUUUCAACAAUUUAAUCAAAUUCGAAUUCGAAUUGUAAAUUGUACACUUACAGUAACGUAUAGCAGUAGUAUAUUUUUUGCAUCAUCAUGUCGAUUCAGUAUCGAAAAUUGCCGACAUCGUUGGCCAACGCUAAUAACGUUUGGUCGGUUUACUACUGUUUCAUAACACUACGACGAUAUAGGAAUAAAUCCACAAAACAAUAAUAUAGAAAAUUAUGCGAGUUUAGCUCUUAUCAUAUCGAACAAAAUGUAAACUCGGACCCUUUUGAUAAGAAAAGUAGGCCGUUUUGUUGACAUGAACAUUUUACGCUAAUUCUAGAUUAAAGUUGUUUAAUGUUAGUAUAUCUGCGGCUAUUUAAUAUUCAAACUUUCCCGGAGAAUCGCCUAUGCCUUAAUAUUAUUGCGGUACAGUAAUAACCUCGGGGGAACAAUGCUGAGGUCGUUUUCGACAGCGCAAACCGAUAGCCCUGAACUUUCCCGUUGAUUGUACACUUUUCAAAGAAAAGAAAACGUUGGAAAGUAUUUUGCCAUACUAAAACAGCACUCAAAAUUUUAGAAUUGGAAAAAAAAAAAAACACCAAAAACACGUUGUAAGUUUCACGUUCCACAAACUAUUUUUUUUCCAUAGGUUUUUAUCUGUUCCUUGUACCUUUGUACCUACUUUGUCCAAUAUAAAAACAUAGGCUUCUCGUUGAAAAUUUCGGAACACAAACUUUGAUCAAAAUAAUGUAUGAGUAAACUCAGCAGAAAAAAAAUUCCUUAAAAAAACAAAAAUACAUUGGAAAAAAAAAUUUUGAAUUAUCCUCCCGAACAAUUUUGAAAAACUGGAUUUAUCUUGUUGUUUCAGCGAGCCCUUCAUAUAGUGUACAUUCGAUUUUUAUUCAUCUGCAAUUUUCUAGAUUUUUUGAUCGUCAGAUGUAAACAAAUUCGAUUCCUUUGGUAUUUUUUCGGUUAAACUCGGAAAAAAACCACAUCCUGAAAAAAAAUACCGCAGCUUUACUCUUCGCAUCUGAUCGCUACACAUAAUUAUCAUACAGGUGGAUACCGAGUGACAGAAUAUGAAAUAUAAAAAAAAAGUCCAAAACAUUUAAUCAAACGGAAUUGUGUUUUGCGUUCACCGUAAAAAAAAAAAUAUUAUUAUAAAUUAUCGUUUGUGUGAAUCGUCUGCGACUACAAAGUCACGUAUCGAGUAAACAUUUGAUUUUUUUUUCCGGUUGCAAACUUUCGUUUGACCACGGGCAGUUCUAAUAACGGUUUCGUUUUCACGUGCGAAGGUCACGUCACGAAUCAAAACUAAUAUUUUCCCGAAAACUACCGAUUCCUAAAAACGCUUAGGUACUACAAACUCGAAGAAAAGCGACACAAAGGUUAAGUCGAAAAGCUAUUCCCUCGCAAUGAACGCGUUUUCGAAUAUCGUUAAAUCGGAUCGCUACACAUUCGACACUGCGAUCAAUUGAAACUUGAUAAAUAUCUAUUGAUUUAUGUUUUAUCGGUAAACUUUACAGUUUGUGUUAGGUUAGGUUUUUUUUUUUUGCUUUGUGCAACACAAAUAACUGCACUCGGUAAUCGUUUGAUGCGUACGUCCAAAGUAUUUGUUUAGUUCAAAGAAGAAAAAAUCAGAUUGCGCGCACGAGGACGAACAAGGAUGAGCGAAAAACUGGGUCACAGUUUCGGUAUCGAUAUUCACGCGUGUGGUAUUACCGUGUCAAUAACAACAAAACCGCCGGAAUGUGUCGAUAUAAUAAUUACCACGUGUUUACACUGGACCAUAAAUAUGGAUUAUUAGCUAUAGCGAUUCGGGAUUAUUAUUGUAUUUUGUCUUCAUCCACAUCGACCACAACACCACGUGUACAAUGUAGUUUAUCGCGUUUAACGAUAAUCUCGGUAAAGGCCAUGUCAAUGUACCUCAAAUAUAUAUUGAAUGAUUGAAACUGACGCGAAUUUUACAACCCUUAGAAGGAUUUUCGAACGUAUCCUAAAAGAAAAAAUACCUGUGAACGGCAGAGAUCCGUCGCAAUAGAAACGAAUUCUCGACUCAAUUACCGAAGUAUAGCAAUGAAGCGG
This 3824-nucleotide long non-coding RNA is filed under the name Cinara cedri. The record is from RNAcentral. Lineage: Eukaryota; Metazoa; Arthropoda; Insecta; Hemiptera; Aphididae.